UUUAUGGAGAGUUUGAUCCUGGCUCAGGAUAAACGCUGGCGGCGUGCCUAAUACAUGCAAGUCGAGCGAACGGACGAGAAGCUUGCUUCUCUGAUGUUAGCGGCGGACGGGUGAGUAACACGUGGAUAACCUACCUAUAAGACUGGGAUAACUUCGGGAAACCGGAGCUAAUACCGGAUAAUAUUUUGAACCGCAUGGUUCAAAAGUGAAAGACGGUCUUGCUGUCACUUAUAGAUGGAUCCGCGCUGCAUUAGCUAGUUGGUAAGGUAACGGCUUACC
Molecule: ribosomal RNA, 279 nt
Filed under: Staphylococcus aureus
Lineage: Bacteria; Bacillati; Bacillota; Bacilli; Caryophanales; Staphylococcaceae
Description: partial 16S ribosomal RNA
Rfam family: Bacterial small subunit ribosomal RNA
Source: RNAcentral